RNAcentral lists this long non-coding RNA (2209 nucleotides) under Mytilus galloprovincialis (Mediterranean mussel). Lineage: Eukaryota; Metazoa; Mollusca; Bivalvia; Mytilida; Mytilidae. The record is from RNAcentral.
AAUUGCCUGGACUAUAUCAGCAGGUACACAACACAUUUAAAAAUGCUUCAGUAAAUAAAAUAUGAUGAUAGGAAAUACAAAUUGUAAAUUGUCAUCUUAUCCUUUUCAGGAAUUCAGAUUUUAAACUACUGUUAUUUUGGACCUUAAAUUGGGAAGUCAUAUUGCGAUGCUAAGAUUGCCCAUUUGUGAACAAAAAUUAAAACAUGUGUGGCUUCAGGACUUGAUAUUUAAGUAGCAGAAGAUAUGAAAUGGCGAUUGAUCAUGGAAAAGGUAGGCAUAAAAAAUGUUUUUUAAACUAUCUGCUCUGUGCAGUUUUUUUUUAUGAGACAAAAAUUUAUAAAAAACUGAUAGAGGAAAUAAUUGUGGUAUGUUGACUAAAAUCCCUUUAUGGCAUAUUAGUGGAAAUAAUUGAGGUAUGUUGACUAAAAUCCCUUUAUGGCAUAUUACUCAAAGUAUUAAAGGGUAUAACACUAAAGGGAGUUAACUCUAUUAACGUCAGCUUUUAAUCAAAUGCUAAUAGUAAAAAAAAUUCGUAAGGGUUCCGCGGAACCCAGUGUCUCGCCUACUUUUGCUGUUAAUCGCAGACUCAACAAAAUGAGGAAAAACAUCAAUAAAAAUUUCCUUCUCGAUACUGUCUUUUGAUUGAAAGAAGCUUUCAAGUUUGGUAAAAAAUCCAGGAUAGUUUAUGAAUCUAAUAAAUGUUGUAUAAACUUUAACUGCAGACUGUAUGUAAUGUUAACUGGAAGAAAAACUAAGUCCAUUUAUAAGUAAAAUACGGAAAAGUGGAAAUUUAUUUUUACAAAAUUUCUUCUUGAUACUAUCUUAUGAUUAUAAACAAGCUUCUGUCCAAGUUUGGUACAAAUCAAGGAUAGUUUAUGAAAGUUAUUAAAAUUUAAAAAACUUUAACCACAGAGUGAAUGUAAUGUUUCCUCGCAGAAAAACUAAGUCCAUUUAUAAGUAAAAUACGGAAAAGUGGAAAUUUAUUUUUACAAAAUAUUCUUCUUGAUACUAUCUUAUGAUCAUAAACAAGCUUCUGUCCAAGUUUGGUACAAAUCAAGGAUAGUUUAUGAAAGUUAUUAAAAUUUUUAAAACUUUAACCACAGAGUGAAUGUAAUGUUUCCUCGCAGAAAAACAAAGUCCAUUUAUAAGUAAAAUACGGAAAAAAUGGAAUUUUAUUUUUACAAAAUUUACUUCUGGAUACUUUCUUAUGAUCAUUAACAAGCUUCUGUCCAAGUUUGGUAGAAAUUCAGUAUAGUUUAAGAAAGUUAUUAAAAUUUCAAAAACUUUAACCACAGAGUGAAUAUUUGUGGACGCCGACGCCGACGGAACGUAGGAUCGCUUAGUCUCGCUUUUUCGACUAAAGUCGAAGGCUCAACAAAAAUGAAGCUCCUCAUGUAUCAAUGAUCAAAAUAGUGUUUGUCAAACUGGUAUAUAUACAAUGAAGUUAUACCUUUAAAUUAUGUGGUUUAACUUUUUUGUUUAUUUUUGCCAACAGGUCAAAGUUUAAUCAAUUUUAAACAAGCACAAUCCAUGUUAGGCAAAUUGUUAGGUAUCCCCUUAAGUGUAGCCCUUAGAUUUGUUCUCUCUUUAUAUAAAUACACUGCUUUUGUAAGAGAUAUACAAUUUUUUUAACCUUUAUGGUACAGUAUCUGAAUAUAUCCACAACAGGGAAUGAGGGACUACUUUUAAAAAGUAAUUUUCAGCAACUGUUUCCUGUAAACUGAAAUGUAGAUUGGAUAAUGUAAUGUUUUUGGUUUUUGCAAAGUGAUAUAACACAUAGAACACAAAUCUAUCUUAAUAUCUGACUCUAAGGAACCAGUUAAAUUUUAUAUUUGACCAUCAAAAGUUGAAGUAUUUUUAGUUAAUUUACUACUUCAUUACUUCAGAGAUUAUACAUUAUGGUGUCAUUUGUUUACAUUUGUGUUCUCUCUGUAAAAAAAAUCAUAGUGAUGAGCAGAGGCCUUUACAUUAAGAGAAAUAUAUACUUCAUAUAGAUACACACCUUCUAUGACUAUGAUCAACAUGUUUCAUCCUGUGUAGUUAUUCAAAUAUUAUUCUAUAAAGGCUGACAGUAUACGAUAUCUGAUUGAUUUGAGUUUUAAUUGAUUUUAAUUGAUCUCUGUUUUGUUAAUAGUAGUAUAUUUUUAUUUUUCAGGUGCUGCUGGUAGUCAUGUUGCAGUAGCACAUAUUGGCACAUCCAAACAAAUCC